GCCUGGGUGGCUCAGUCGGUUGAGCGUCUGACUUACGCUCAGGUCAGGAUCUCACAGUUUGUGAGUUCGAGCCCCGUGUUGGGCU
This 85-nucleotide transfer RNA is filed under the name Felis catus (domestic cat). It matches the Rfam family "tRNA". Rfam says of the family: Transfer RNA (tRNA) molecules are approximately 80 nucleotides in length. Lineage: Eukaryota; Metazoa; Chordata; Mammalia; Carnivora; Felidae. The record is from Rfam by way of RNAcentral.